UACGUAGGGGGCGAGCGUUAUCCGGAAUUACUGGGCGUAAAGCGCACGCAGGCGGUUCGCCAAGUUUGGAGUGACAGUUGUCGGCUCAACCGACAAAGGACUUCAAAAACUGGUGAACUUGAGGACGAGAGAGGAACAUGGAACUCCAGGUGUAGUAGUGAAAUGCGUAGAUAUCUGGAAGAACACCAAUGGCGAAGGCAAUGUUCUGGCUCGUUUCUGACGCUCAGGUGCGAAAGCCAGUGGAGCGAACGGG
RNAcentral lists this ribosomal RNA (253 nucleotides) under uncultured bacterium. RNAcentral's name for it is "partial 16S ribosomal RNA". It matches the Rfam family "Bacterial small subunit ribosomal RNA", at positions 524 to 776 of the family's 1533-position model. The record is from RNAcentral.